UACGUAGGGGGCUAGCGUUGUCCGGAAUCAUUGGGCGUAAAGCGCGUGUAGGUGGCGAGGCAAGUCGGGUGUGAAAGCCCUGGGCUCAACCCAGGAAGUGCACUCGAUACUGCCUAGCUAGAGUCCCGGAGAGGUUGGUGGAACUCUCGGUGUAGAGGUGAAAUUCGUAGAUAUCGAGAAGAACACCGGUGGCGAAGGCGGCCAACUGGACGGUGACUGACACUGAGACGCGAAAGCGUGGGGAGCAAACAGG
This 253-nucleotide ribosomal RNA is filed under the name uncultured bacterium. RNAcentral describes it as "partial 16S ribosomal RNA". It matches the Rfam family "Bacterial small subunit ribosomal RNA", at positions 524 to 776 of the family's 1533-position model. The record is from RNAcentral.